RNAcentral lists this long non-coding RNA (258 nucleotides) under Capsella rubella. RNAcentral's name for it is "long non-coding RNA (CRUB_LNC002683)". Lineage: Eukaryota; Viridiplantae; Streptophyta; Magnoliopsida; Brassicales; Brassicaceae. The record is from RNAcentral.
AAAAUUUGUAAUAGUAAGAAUGCACUAUUUCAAUACUUGUAUCAAAGCGUUAUUCCCAUCUAUCUUUUACUAUUUCCUUUCACAAAGCGACAUCGCUUUUAACUAUUCUACUAUUGUUUUUUUUUUUUGUAAAUUAUUCUACUAUUGCUUAUAGUUUCUCUUAUCCACUAAAAAGAAUAAGAAUAUCGCUUUUUAUUAUUACUGGAACUCUCAAUAUUUGCAUAUUCUUGGACUAUAGUACAUACAACAAUGAUGAAC